GAGAUUCUGCAGGCAGUGAUCUAAGGAAAUGAUUUUAUCGUAUCAUCACGUCGUUUGCAUCUGGGCUACCACAGGUGUGUGAGACCGCGCAUGGUGUGGAGGAGCAGAGCGUGGUGGGAAGGUCUGGACUGGAAUUCCAGCUGUAAAUAGCACUCAUCAUCACCCCCAUCACCACAGCUGGUAAUGAAGAGAAAUGUGUCAGCUAAGGAGAAGAGUGGCCGCCAUGACAGUAAUGAAGAAAAAUGGACAGAAAUGCUGCAGGAAUGGCAGCUCCACUAUUUCCCAGUGUAAUUGGCACGAGGAGAGCUAGCUACUAUGUCUUGAGGCCACCAAAGCAGCUCUGUGGAGAUGCCCACAUGGAAAAUAGGUAAGACUUCUGGACAUACUAGGGAGGAACUGGUGACUCCAAAGAGUGAGCCUUCUUGGAAGCAGAUCCUCCAGCCUAUCCAAGCCUACAGAUAAUGCAGCCCUGGCUGGUAUCUUGACCAUAACCUCAUAAGAGACCCUGAGCCAGAAACCACCCAGCUAAGUCACUCUGGAAUUCCUGACUCUCAGAAGCUGUGAGAUAAUAAAUGGUGGUUGUUUUAAGCCACCUAAUCUUGGGGUAAUUCAUUAUAUGGCAAUAGAUAUUGAAUAUAGUAUAACUACAUAUGAGCUUCCACAGUAGCAUAGUCAUAAAGGAUCUGCCUGCCAAAGCAGGACAAGCGAGAGAUGUGGAUUUGAUA
This is a long non-coding RNA of Bubalus bubalis (water buffalo), 725 nucleotides long. RefSeq lists it as uncharacterized. The transcript is spliced from 3 exons. The record is from RefSeq and is a predicted model, not a curated record. Lineage: Eukaryota; Metazoa; Chordata; Mammalia; Artiodactyla; Bovidae.